This 739-nucleotide ribosomal RNA is filed under the name Curtobacterium flaccumfaciens pv. flaccumfaciens. RNAcentral describes it as "bacterial SSU rRNA". It matches the Rfam family "Bacterial small subunit ribosomal RNA", at positions 30 to 781 of the family's 1533-position model. Lineage: Bacteria; Bacillati; Actinomycetota; Actinomycetes; Micrococcales; Microbacteriaceae. The record is from RNAcentral.
CGAACGCUGGCGGCGUGCUUAACACAUGCAAGUCGAACGAUGAUGCCCAGCUUGCUGGGUGGAUUAGUGGCGAACGGGUGAGUAACACGUGAGUAACCUGCCCCUGACUCUGGGAUAAGCGUUGGAAACGACGUCUAAUACUGGAUAUGAUCACUGGCCGCAUGGUCUGGUGGUGGAAAGAUUUUUUGGUUGGGGAUGGACUCGCGGCCUAUCAGCUUGUUGGUGAGGUAAUGGCUCACCAAGGCGACGACGGGUAGCCGGCCUGAGAGGGUGACCGGCCACACUGGGACUGAGACACGGCCCAGACUCCUACGGGAGGCAGCAGUGGGGAAUAUUGCACAAUGGGCGAAAGCCUGAUGCAGCAACGCCGCGUGAGGGAUGACGGCCUUCGGGUUGUAAACCUCUUUUAGUAGGGAAGAAGCGAAAGUGACGGUACCUGCAGAAAAAGCACCGGCUAACUACGUGCCAGCAGCCGCGGUAAUACGUAGGGUGCAAGCGUUGUCCGGAAUUAUUGGGCGUAAAGAGCUCGUAGGCGGUUUGUCGCGUCUGCUGUGAAAUCCCGAGGCUCAACCUCGGGCUUGCAGUGGGUACGGGCAGACUAGAGUGCGGUAGGGGAGAUUGGAAUUCCUGGUGUAGCGGUGGAAUGCGCAGAUAUCAGGAGGAACACCGAUGGCGAAGGCAGAUCUCUGGGCCGUAACUGACGCUGAGGAGCGAAAGCAUGGGGAGCGAACAGGAUUAG